AAAUGUUGGUUUUGCAACGGUAUAGGACACAAGAAGUCAAACUGUCAUGCCUUUAAGAAUUCAAUCCAAAGUGAAACCCAAGGUAAGCCUUAUGCUUUAGUUUGUUUUGAGUCUAAUAUGGUAGAUAUUCCUUUAAACUCAUGGUGGUUAGAUUCGGGGGCAUCAAUUCAUGUUUCUAAUUCUUUACAGGGGUUCAAGACAAAGAAAAAACCAAGUGAAGUUAAAGGGAACCUGUUUGUAGGAAAUGGAAAUAGGGUUAAUGUGCAAUUUAUAGGAAUAGUAGAAUUAAGAUUAGAAUCUGGUUUCAUUUUGCAAUUAAGAGAUACUCUGUAUGUUCCCUCUAUGAGGCGUAAUUUAAUUUCUGUGUCAAAACUUGAUGAUUGUGGAUUUUCUUUUAGUUUUCAUAAAGGAUUAUGUUUGUUAUCUUAUAAUUCCAAACCUGUCGGAAAAGCCCAUAAACAUGAUGGUUUAUAUAGUUUGGAAUUGGAUUCAAAUAUUUAUAAUAGUCUACAUGUUCAAAAUAUUGGAUAUAAGAGACCUUUAUUAAAGGACACUUCACUCGCUUUGUGGCAUGGGCGCCUAGGGCAUAUCUCUAAGGAUAGGAUUAAUAGAUUGAUUAAAGAUGAACUCUUACCACCCCUUGAUAUUAGUAACUUUGAUGAAUGUGUGGAUUGCAUAAGAGAGAAAUUUACAAGAAAAAAUAGGAAGGGUUCUAAUAGAAGUAGAGAGCUUUUAGAGAUAAUUCACACUGAUAUAUGUGGUCCUUUAAGAACAACCUUGUGUGGAAAUAAGUACUUUAUAACAUUCAUAGAUGAUUAUUCUCGUUUUGGUUAUGUCUACUUGAUUAAUGAGAAGUCUUUGUCCCUUGAAAAGUUUAAAAUUUUUAAGACAGGUCGAAAAUCAAUGUGGCACAAAGAUUAAGAUAGUUAGAUCGGAUAGAGGUGGUGAAUAUUAUGGUAGACACGGUGAGACUGGACAAUAUAUGGGACCUUUUGCCAAAUACCUUGAGGAAUGUGGAAUCAUAUGUCAAUAUACUAUGCCCAGUACUCCUGAACAAAAUGGUGUGGCUGAGAGGCGUAACCGUACAUUGAUGGAUAUGGUAAGAUCCAUGAUGAGUCAUUCUAAAUUACCAGAUUUCCUUUGGGGAGAAGCCCUUAAGGCGGCUAUGUAUAUAUUAAAUAGGGUACCAUCUAAGGCUGUACCUAAGACACCUUUUGAGUUGCUUAAAAGGAUGGAAACCUAGUCUAAAUCAUCUUCGUACAUGGGGGUGUGCAGCUGAGGUUAAAAUUUAUGAUCCGACUGCAUCAAAGUUUAAGCCCUAAGACGACUAGGUGUUAUUUUAUUGGUUAUCCUAAUAAUGCUAAGGGGUAUAGAUUUUAUUGUCCUACUCGAGGAACAAAAAUAAUAGAAGCCAUUAAUGCAAAGUUUCUUGAGAAUGAUGUUGGUGAUUCAAUUGGUCAUGAAACUGGAGAAUCAAGUUCUAAAGGAGAAAAGGUUCUAAUACAUAUACCUAUUAUACAAGAAAGAGUUGAGAUACCUUUAGUUGAGCAAACAACCGAGGAACCACAACCAACCAUCUUAGAUAAUCCACACCCUCCUGCACCCGCUCCUGAGCAUCAUGUUGAAGCUUUACCCAUUAGACGUUCUCAAAGAGAACGAAGGCCUGUCAAUCGUGAUGAUUACUAUACUUUUCUAGGGGAGAAGGAUUCAAACAUAGGAUGUUUUCCAGAUCCAGAAAAUUAUAGUGAGGCAAUUUGUAGUGAUUUGUCCGAUAAAUGGAUUGAGACUAUGAAUGAUGAAAUAAUUUCGAUGAAUCACAAUAAUGUGUGGGAGCUUGUGGAACUUCCCAAUGGUUAUAAACCUAUAGGAUGCAAGUGGGUUUUUAAAACUAAGAAAGAUGCUAAGGGAAUUGUAGAACGCUUUAAGGUAAGAUUAGUGGCUAAAGGGUUCACACAAAAGGAAGGGAUUGAUUACAAAGAAACAUUCUCUCCUGUAUCAUCAAAGGAUUCUUUUAGAAUUAUAAUGGCUCUUGUGGCACAUUAUGAUUUGGAACUUCAUCAAAUGGAUGUUAAGACGGCUUUCCUGAAUGGUGAUCUCUAUGAGGAUGUGUACAUGCUCAACCUGAGGGUUUCAUAGAGAAUAAUAAAGAACACUUGGUGUGUAAAUUGAAGAAGUCUAUAUAUGGUUUAAAACAAGCAUCAAGGCAGUGGUAUAUUAAGUUUGAUGAAGUUGUUGCUUCCAUGGGUUUUGAGGAGAAUAAGGUGGAUCAAUGUAUAUAUCUCAAGGUCCGUGGGAGUAAAUUCAUUUUCCUUAUUUUGUAUGUAGAUGACAUUCUACUUGCUAGUAAUAACCUAGAUUUACUUUUAGUGACCAAGAAAACCUUGUCCACUUCUUUUGAUAUGAAGGAUCUAGGUGAAGCCUCUUUUUUUGAUUUGGGUAUUGAGAUUCAUAGAGAUAGAAACCAAAAAUUAUUAGGUUUAUCUCAAAAGGCAUAUAUUGAUAGAGUUCUGAAAAGAUUUAAUAUGGAGACUUGCAAGCCUGGAGAUGCUCCAAUAGUUAAAGGAGAUGAACUUAGUAAGGAUCAAUGUCCCAAGAGCAACAUUGAAAUGAAUGCAAUGUCAAAUGUUCCAUAUGCUAGCGCAGUAGGUAGCCUGAUGUAUGCUCAAGUAUGUACAAGACCUGAUUUAUCUUUUGUUGUGAGCGUAUUGGGUAGAUAUUUGUCUAUUCCUGGAUAUGCUCAUUGGGUUGCUGCUAAGAAGGUAAUGCGAUACCUCCAGAAGACAAAGGACUAUAUGCUUGUUUUUAGGGAAGUUGAUGAUUUAAAUGUCAUUGGAUAUUCUGAUGCUGAUUUCGCUGGAUGUCCUGAUGACGAGAAGUCAACUUCUGGAUAUAUCUUCAAGAUGGCUGGCGGUGCUAUAUCCUGGAAGAGCGUUAAGCAAACUCUAACUGCCUCAUCCACAAUGCAAGCAGAGUUUGUUGCAUUGUAUGGUGCUGCAACCCAUUCAAUGUGGUUAAAGAAUUUUAUCUCAGCUCUUGGUAUAGUUGAUUCCAUUUCUCGGCCAUUGAAGAUAUUUUGUGAUAAUAGCUCGGCUGUCUUCUAAACUCGUAAGGAUUAAAUUCUUAGUUGUUAGAGAAAUGGUGGAGGAUAAUGAAAUUGAGGUUGAGCACAUAUCCACCGAAGAAAUGACUGCAGAUCCAUUAACUAAAGGGCUUAGGCCGAUUAUAUUUACAAAACAUGUUGAAAAUAUGGGAAUUGUAAAGUCCUUUGAUAUUUUUAAUUAGUGGGAGCAGACAUUAAUUGUAUGUGUUCAUUUUUAAAUUAAUGAAUUUAUUCUCAUUUUCUUUUGAUUAUUUCUAUCAUGCUUAAAUGCUUUUUUUUAUUUUUUAUUUUUUAUUUCUAAUGGAAAUUUUAUUUGAGAUUUGUCUCUGAUUUCUCUAGUGGAAAUGAUGUUUCAUAUGAAAUGUGAUUUUAAUCUCUUUGGGGAGAUUGUCAUUUCUUUUACGAGAAAGAAGUUGUGUUCCGUAAUGGAAUAGUGUUGCAUUUGAAACAUGAAUCUCUUUUAAGGGAUUUGAUUGUACUUUCUUUGAAAGGUACAAUGAGGACUUGUACACAAUAGUAUACAAUGAUCACAAUAUAUAUACUAUGAUGUGUGUUGCAUUAGUACGCUUAUUUGGUGAUUAUGACAACAAGAAAUGUUAGUUAUGUGGUUGUAGGUGAUAUAAACUCUUAAUAGUCUAAUUUUCACCUAUAGCUCUAGCUGAUAGGUUUUUUGCUUGUCGGCAUUGAUCAUGGUUAAUGGUGUCCUAAUUCAUGCAAACUAUGAUCAAGGUUUAUUGUUCAUUAUGAGUAAAUUAUAUUUCAUGAUCUGUAACUCAUUAACCAUUUAAAAAAUAAUAAUCUUGAUUUGCUUAAUUGAUUUAACUCUAGCACAUAAAUAUCUUAACAAUUACAACAUGUGAAUAGGUUGUAUUUAAGAAAAUUUCUACCGUCCUUGUUAACCUAACACUGAACCAUAACCAUAGAAUUUUAUUUUUCGAGAAAUAAUCAUAUUGAUCCUUAAAUGUGUAACGAAUAGUCAUAAUAGUCUUUCAAUAUAUCAAAAUUUUAAAAUGAUCCUUGAUUGUGCAUUUUGUUACUCAAAUUAAUCUUUAUCGUUAAAAUAGUUUUUCAAUGCUGACAUUAACUCUUUUUAUAGGAUGACUGAUAUGACAGUAAGUAAAUACUUGUAGAGGCUGAUAUGACAAUUAAAGACUAAUUUUUUUGGACUAAUUUGACAAUAUUAAGAAGCAUUUUAACUUAAAAGACUAUUUUGACUUACUCAGUGCACAAUCAGAAACUAUUAUUGAAUUUUUAUACAUUGAUGGAAUAUUGCGACUACGUGUUAUACAUUCACAAACUAAAAUGACUAUUACCCUUUAUUUUUAUGAAGUAAUAACCAGAUAUAUUUAUUAUUUUAACUUUUUCAAAGAAUAUUAUUUUUUAAAUCACUUUUAAAUAUUAUUUUUAUUAAUGUAUUGUUAAUAUUGUAAUAAAAUGUAUAAAAAUUAAGUGAAAAUUGACUUUUUUUUUUGAGGGAAGGUGAAAAUUGACUAAAAUUUCGUAUUUAGCAUCUUAAAUACAUUUCAAUUAAAUAUGUAAUUUUUGAAGAAGAUUCACUACAAACAGAUCCAGCAAUAAAACCAUCAAACCAGUCCCAAAACAACCAAAAAUCUUUGCUUAAGCCUUUGUGAUGGACAAUGAGUUGUUAUGAAGACUAGAUAAAAUUUGAAUUUAUAUCGUAAAAUUUGAAUGUAUGUUUCCAACAUGAUCAAAAUAAUGCUUGAAAUCAAAGUUUAGUGAUAAAUGAUGGAUGAUGUAGGAAAAAUGUAUCCUGACACCAGUUUCAAAGCUUUUCUUCUUUUAUCUUUUUUCUUCAACAUGAUUUUAAGUAGCAGCAAUGUAAUCAGCAGCUAAUUCACCUUCGAUCAACUUAAUUCAAAAGCCUUUCUUUUAAACCAGAGCCUUUAAGCAUCCUGCCAUGGAAUAGUCUUAACAACUCUAAACCCAUUUGGGGUUGGCCUAGUGGUUGGCUUGGGAUCUUGGAGUUUGCUCCUCCAGAGGUCUCAGGUUCGAUUCCCUCUGCCAAUUUCGGUGGGCUAAGUCUUGCUCUGGCUUUAAACGGGGCCCCCGCAAGUGGGCGGUGGAAUUGGUCCCCUCAGAUUAGUCGAUUUUUGGAUCGGAUACCGAGUUUUCAAAAAAAAGUCUUAACAACUCUAAUAAUAAUUUGAUUACAAACGCAGACAUGAAAAAAAAUAACAACAAAGAAAGAAAUCUCAACAACACUAAACCCAGCCAACACAACACCAAAAUGUUAAGGGAGGAACUUAAUUUGCAUGUAAAUGUAGCAUGGUGGUCAAAUCGGGAUAAAUUAACCAAAAAAUAGAACUUAAAAUAUCAUAUAUAAAUUCCAAAAUACUUCAAAUAUCAUAUAUAAACUUCAAGAUAUUUCAAAACUCAAGUCAUAAACAAAAGUAAAUAACAUAAAACAUCCUUAAUUCAAUCAAAAUCAAACAUAACUCAAAAUUUUAAGAAUACUUCAAAACUCAAGUCUAGCCUAGAAUACUUCAAAUUUCAAACGAUUGUCAAUUAUUUUCCAUACUCAAGUGUAAUAUCUAAUGAGUCACACAAACCUGACCCGAUAUUUGAUGGGUCACUUCAAAAAAAAGGGUAAAUUUAGGGUUUUCUGGUCCGCCAAACAAAAAAUCAUCAAAAAAAGUUGUUUUUUCCCCCUAAAAAACAAAGUUUUUUGAUGAUUUUUCUUACAACUUAAUUGUUACAAAAAAAAAAAAACUAUGUUGCUUUUAUCAUUUUUUUUUAAAAUAUAUGUUGCUUUUAUCAUAAAAAAAUAACAAAAAAAAUAUGCAACAAAUAAAUUUGUCGUAAAAACAAGAUAAUUAAUAAGUUGUCGAACUCAACAUCAUACUUAAUAACAAAAUAAUGAAAAUAUACCAACAUAAAAACAAAUACAACAACCAAAAUAAAUCCAAAAGAAAAAAUAAGUCUAAAACAAAAAAGAAAAACAAGUUAAACGGGUCGGUCCACCUCGUCACGAGUCGGCCCGUUUUUUUAACGAGAGUUAAGCGGGGCGAACCAACUUUGAAAAGCGAGUUCAAAACUUCGACUCAGCCCGCCAAAAAUAGCGGGCUAAACGGGCCGGCCCGACGAGUUGGAUCCGUUUUGCCACCCCUAGUUGGUAGGAACAAUGCAUUAUAUAUGCAAAGUCGGGGUUCAAACCCCAUCUAUCACCAAAAAAAAAACAUGCAAAUUUACACCUGAUGGAAAAACCUAAAAAAAAAACAAAACAAUGUUUUCCUUUAACUAAACAAAGCAACCUUGUUCACGUGAGCUUAGCUCAGUUGAUAUGGACAAUGCAUAAUAUAUGUAAGAUCCGAGGUUCAAACUCCUGCCACCAAAAAUAAAAAAACUAAGGCUUAAAUAUGAAAAUUGUCCCUGCAAAUAUCUGACAUUUUGGUUUUAGUCCCUGUAAAAAUAUUUUUUUGGUUUUAGUCCCUGCAAAUAUAAAAAAUUUGGUUUUGGUCCCUGAUAUUUUGUUUUAGUCCUUGUAAAAGUAAUUCAUAUUGGAUUUGGUCCUUGUAAUAUGUAGAAUAUUUGAUUUUAGUCCCUCAAAAUGAGGACUAAAAUGAAUAUUAUAGGGAUCAAGUUCAAUAUGAAAUGAUUUUACAAGGAUUAAAACAAAAUACCAAGGACCAAAACCAAAUAUUCUAUAUUUGCAUGGACUAAAACCAAAAAAAUAUUUUUAUAGGAACUAAAUCCAAAACGCUAGAUAUUUACCGGGACUAUUUUCAUAUUUAAGCCAAAAACUAAACAAAGCAAGAAUAUAAAAGGCAUCAAAGAUUCGUCUUAGUAUGCGACGACCCGAACUCAAUGUUUAUAAGCCAUUCUCUCUCUUCAAAGUUUAUUCCAAAAUUUGAUUCUAUUCAGAUCCCAUAUUCUUCAUUGGUGGAUCCGUUUUUCUGUAUUUGGACAAAACCUCAUUCAUUCCCUAUAUAUUCAUCCUUACCCUCUUCCUCAAACUGUUUUCCCUCAACAACACAUUCAUAUAAAUUUUUAUGGUUUCAAUGCAAUUCCACCACAAAAUGCACUCUCAUAAAAUGGAAUUUCGUGACUAUAUCCUAGCAUUGGAAGAAGAAAAGAAGAAAAUUCAGGUUUUCCCUAGAGACCUUCCUCUUUCUCUUGAGCUUGUUACACAAGGUAAACAAAACAAACCAGAAGAAAAAAAAGAAUAUACCAUUUUUUUAUACCAUGUUAAAGUUUCUUUCAUUGGUUUUUUGGUUUGUGUUUUUCUACUUUUUUCUUAUAUGUUAUGUUUUGUGAAUAUGCAGCCAUUGAAACUUGUAAGCAACAGUUGUUUGGAACACAAUCGGAGUGUUCGGAACAGACAUCGACAGAUGAAGGUCUUGUUUUUGAGGAGUUUAUUCCUAUCAAGAAAAGGGCAUUGUCCCCCGAUUGCGAUGAAAAUGAUGAGGAAGAUGACGACGAUGAGGAGCAACAUUCAUCACAUAAGAUGAAAUCUGAUUGGCUAAGAUCUGUUCAGUUGUGGAAUCCCAACCCUUCAUCUGCUAAAGAGGUAUAAAAUUGCAAAACCAAAGUCGAAUUUUUUUUGUAGGAUUUAAUCAUGGAAAAUUACACUGGACUGAAAGGCAAACAGACAACAAGUUGUACCACUAACUGUUUCUGGAUGGCAAAACCGAAGUUGAUUUUAAUAAAUGAAUUUUUAUUUUAUAAGCAAACGUUGGUAAAUUAGCGAUUUUGAACUGUGAAACUUUUGAUCAGGACUUCUUCCGCGUCACUCAAUUCAUCAAGCCUAUUGUCUGCUUGAUACAUUGAAUGGAAUUGUUCCUUUAGAACUUUUUGUCUGUUUCAUAAUUGAAAAGAAAUUAAGAGAAUGUGAAAUGUUUGUUCAGGAUGUACCUAGGAAAACAAAUGUCGUAGAAGUGAAGAGAAAUGGUGGAGCAUUUCAACCAUUCCACAAAGAGGAAAUCGCUGCUGAAAAAGAUAAUGCAUUAGAAAGUGAUAAAGCACCAACCAGUUCGCCUCAAGUACCAGCUACAAGUUCUACCGAACCAGUUCCUGAAAGCGGCAGCAAAAAAGACGAUAAAGGUCAGAGAAAGCAGCGCCGUUGCUGGUCACAGGAAUUGCACAAACGCUUCUUGCAUGCCCUUCAACAACUUGGCGGUUCAAAUUGUGAGUGAAUAUAUUACUCAUCAGCAUAAUUAGUACAUUCUUCUAAUUAAUUGUUCCAAAUGUAAUUGUGAAUUGUGCGUGACAUGUUGCAGCUGCGACGCCAAAACAGAUCAGGGAACUAAUGAAAGUCGAUGGCCUCACCAACGAUGAAGUCAAAAGUCAUUUACAGGUUAGUUAUUUUUUGUUCCAUUUCUAUAAUUUGUAUAAUUUUCUGUCUCAGACCUGGAUUAUAUGUGGCUAGUAAACCCUGCAAUCCACGGAUUUUUACCGUGGAUGAAGAUUAGACAUCUCGUAUUCUGAUUAUACCAAAUCAAGCUUAAAUUAUAACUCGAAUACGAGCUGUCUAACCUUUAAUCUAACGGUCAAGAUCCUUGACUAUCAGAAUUGCGACUGCAUAGAACUCGAAUUCAUAUUAGCACAUAUCACUAUACGAUCUUCUUGAUUGUUAAUUUUUCUUGUCUAUGAUCAAAAUUAUGGUCUAACUUUUUUUAAUUUUCGGACAUGGACAGAAAUUUCGUCUGCACACAAGAAGAAGCCCAAUAAUUCACAACAAUUCUAAUUCACAUACAGCUCCUAUGUUCUUGGUAGGGAACAUUUAUGUCCAACCACAAGAAUAUGCUGCAGUAGCCACCAAAACAACAGUGUCAGGAGAAUUAACCACAGUUACUACUCCAACAGGAAUUUAUGCACCUGUGGCUACACAUCCUUCAUCUACAACCACAGUUAUAAAACCAAAGUCUAAGAAAUUUGAGUUGAGUGAGAAUUCACAUUCUGUAGAAAGAGUUGUUGCUCAUUCUAACUCCCCUGCCUCAUCAUGUUCCACUCAUACACCUACAACUUCAAGAUGCUGAAAAAUAAUUCAUUUUUGUAGCUAUGUUUUAGUAGAGUUGUUUUGUUUGGGACUUAAAUUAUACAAGUGAAAAUACAGUGAAAGGAAAGUGACAUUUUUGUAUGUUAAGUAAAUAAAUCGCCCUUCCUAGGCAACAUGUUCAACUUUAUCACAUUGGUGGUCAAUUUGUGCGGUUUCUAUUUUCUUUGGUUAAAAAAAUUGUUCGGUUUUUUUUUUAUCAAGUAGCCUAGUGCUAGAAUUCACCCUUUUCAAGAUGAAUAAGUGGGGUGUCCGGGGUUCGAACCCCUGUUCUUGUAUAUAAUAAUGCAUGUCAAUGUCAAUUGAGCUAUAGGGAUAAAUUGUUCGGUUUCUAAUCGAUUAAAUUACCAUUUUAACAUUGAAAUUGUACUGGUUGAAUAAUUUGAUACUUAAAUUUAUGAAAUGAUAAAUUAGUUUAUGUUACUCUUUUUUUUUUUUUUUUUUUUUAUACAGAAAUCAAUAUUAGUCUUCGAUGUUUAUCAAUUUUAUCUAAUCCUUAAUAAUUGAAAAAUGCUAAUUUUAAUAUUGAAUAUGUGAACAAACUCACAACAUCAUCCAUAUUAAUGGCAUAAAACAGCAAAAAAUCAAAGUUUACACAUAUGACUAUAUUUAAGUCUCCGGAAUAUCAAUGUCUCCAGAUCUGCAAGACGACUCCAAAGUCAUUGAUUUGAUCUGCACUAGAUCGAAGCUGAUCUGACAAUCUGAAUCGAACAAAUACCUGAACGAAAUAAGAAAGACAAACAAUGUCGCACAAAGACGACGAACAAAACAACGUCGCACUAAGACGACGAAAUCACAAAAGAAAAACCGAAAUAGAUGUGAAAAUUACUUAUUUUAAUAAAGGAAAAUAGAAAAAACGAGUUAGAUUGAUGAUUUUCGAUCAAAUAUUGACCCUAAAUCAUCUAUUCUUUGUGGAUGAAGGAGAAGAAAUUAGAGUUUUGGUGACGGCUCACAAAAGAGAAGGGGAAGAUAGAGCCCGUCUAUGUUAUGGUUCCUAAUUGAUCAGAUUUGUAACUUUGGAGAUGGAUUAUCCAAUUUUUUAUUUGGCAUGAUAAUGAUGUGAUGGGGUUAAUACUUAAUAGGAUUCUAACGUCUCAUUAAUGAUUCCAAAGGGAAGAAUCUGAGAAUAUCCUACAGAAUAUUUGCAAUGACCACAAUGUCGAUAUUCAUUUUAUCGUUUGACGUUGUGUUGCAUAGGACAAAGAAGUUGGAGAUAUAUUGCUAGCCAGUGGCCACCGGGAGUUAAAAAUGCCAAAAGAUUCUUGAUCAAUAGUACUCUCUUUGGUCACGUUUACAGCUAAAAAAUAACUUUUUAGAUUUAUUGAAUAAUUAUUGUAUAUAGUCUAUAAAUAUGACCAAAUACAUUAAUUAUUCAAUGAAUCUAAAAAGUUGUAUUUUAUUUAUAAAUAUGAUCGAAAGAAGUACAUCUUCUGUCCCAAAAUAACUGAGUCAUUUGUAUAAAAAAUGUUUUAACAUAAUUGCUUUUUUUUCAAUAUUAAUUACUUUUUUCAAUUAAAACUAUAAUUGGUACUACUUCAUCAUUCUCAAUUCAAUAUAUUCUGCUUUACAUUUAUGAUAAUGGAAAAUGCUCUGAUACUUGACAGGAUACUAAAAAAAAAAAUUACGGGUCAGGUUUUGUUGAGUCGUUCGUUGAUGGUCCUUCUCCACCAAAGAGGGGUAGUUUACUUGCAUGUGCUUUGACGCCAAAGUCAAUAAAGGUUCAAAAGUUAUGCGGCUAUAAUAUGGGUAAGAAGCAUACCUGUCCCAGGGAUAAAGCAUAGGAAUAAGUAGUGGUCAAGUAGGGCUUGGAUGUCAAGCCUUAUCCAUACUUGGUAGUGAGCAACUCUCGACCUGUGCGUGCAUGAGCAACCCCAGAUCAAUGAGCAACUCUCAGCCCGCACUAUGAAGGAAUAAUGUGCCCCUAAAAAACAUUGAAUAAUGUGAAAAGUUUUUCGUUUAUGAAAUCACACUAUUGAAACAUUGAAUAAGAAAAAAGGUUUAAUGGGCAAAAGCUUCAAUUUUUUUUGGUGUCGGAGUUUAAACCCCAAACCUUACAUAUAUAUGAAUGCAUUAUCCUUAACAGCUGAGCUAAAGUUAGGGUGACAGCAAAAACUUCAUUGAUUCUAUGGAAGCAAAGCCUUAAGAAGAAAAUAAGUAAAAAAAACACAACCAAAUUGACGGUCAAAUCAUUCAAUAGGCCAAAAUAUCUAGUUAUUUAUAUUUUUCGUAGGGUUAUUUGUUUAGAUAUUAAAUUGCUUAAAUCCACAAAAUUAAUCCAUGCGCUUGUACGUUAUAUAUCUUGCUUGAUACUCCAAAGAAAAUAUUCAUUCUUAUCACAUGGAUAAACUCGAAUCUUCUUUAGCUAAUGUUAAUGUCAAUUUCUUAUAUUUAUAUUUACAUAUCUUGACUUUAACCAACUAUUCCACCCUGCAUGAUCUACAUGCCUACCAAUUCCAUUAACAAAGAAAUAUAUUCAUAGCACUUUUUUUUUUUUUAAAGAAUAUAUUGUUAAUACUUGAAUAUAAAUUACUUUUGACAUUUGCCUUUACACAGUUUUUAGAAACAAUUUUUUUGGGUAGUAUAAUAUAUCAAUAGUUGACAUUUUGAUCACAUGGACUACACUUAUCACAAACAAUUUUUAGUUAUUUAUAUGAGAAAUGUUUUUCUAUUGAUAUUGAAAAUGAGAAAAUCAUUUAAAGUUUCCAUAAUAUGAAUAAUUCUAUAGGACAAUUACUAAUGCUACAAAUUUUUAUAUAUAGUGCGCCCACUAUUCAAAAAUCCUGGAUCCGUCACUGAAUGUGACCAUAUCCAAAUUUGUUUCCAUCAUUACAUCAAUAAGUUUUACCAUUGAAUCAAAAUGUAAAAUAGUAUAUUUGUAAAAUAAAAAAGUGAUAUUAAUAAUUUAUUGAUUCAAUAGUAGAAAACAAACUUAUACAUUAUAGAUAUGCAGAACUUAAUUGUUUGUGCAUAAUAGAGAAAAGGAAUGCUAGCAACACACAUUCUAAUACUCACUUUUCAACACACUCUUUUUGAUUGGAUAAAAUUCACAUGAGACCCACCAAAUUCAUAUGAGACCCAGAUGAUUUAGUAGGACUCAUGUGAAUUUUAACCAAUCAAAGAGAGUGUAUUGGAGAAAGCAAGGUGAAAUACAUUUUCGGGUUAAUUUACCUAGACUUUGAACGGAAUAAACUAAUAUACUUUUACCAAAAAU
This 12324-nucleotide long non-coding RNA is filed under the name Medicago truncatula (barrel medic). Its description in RNAcentral is "long non-coding RNA (MTRU_LNC003253)". The stretch from base 6549 to 6777 matches the Rfam family "MIR2630 microRNA precursor family". The record is from RNAcentral. Lineage: Eukaryota; Viridiplantae; Streptophyta; Magnoliopsida; Fabales; Fabaceae.